GCCCCCAUGGCUCAACGGACAGAGUACAAGUUUGCGGAACUUGAGAUGUAGGUUCGAUUCCUACUGGGGGCA
RNAcentral lists this transfer RNA (72 nucleotides) under Parcubacteria bacterium DG_74_3. Its description in RNAcentral is "tRNA-Arg". It matches the Rfam family "tRNA". Rfam says of the family: Transfer RNA (tRNA) molecules are approximately 80 nucleotides in length. Their secondary structure includes four short double-helical elements and three loops (D, anti-codon, and T loops). Further hydrogen bonds mediate the characteristic L-shaped molecular structure. tRNAs have two regions of fundamental functional importance: the anti-codon, which is responsible for specific mRNA codon recognition, and the 3' end, to which the tRNAs corresponding amino acid is attached (by aminoacyl-tRNA synthetases). tRNAs cope with the degeneracy of the genetic code in two manners: having more than one tRNA (with a specific anti-codon) for a particular amino acid; and 'wobble' base-pairing, i.e. permitting non-standard base-pairing at the 3rd anti-codon position. RNAcentral also lists the same sequence under 1 other name. The record is from RNAcentral. Lineage: Bacteria; Candidatus Parcubacteria.